Molecule: non-coding RNA, 3077 nt
Organism: Saimiri boliviensis boliviensis (Bolivian squirrel monkey)
Lineage: Eukaryota; Metazoa; Chordata; Mammalia; Primates; Cebidae
Source: RefSeq, a predicted model, not a curated record
UUAGCCUCCCAACGUCCUGGAAUUACAGGCGUGAGCCACUGGGCUCAGCCCUGUAUUUCCUUCUUGAGAGAGCCCAAAGUAUUCGCUUUUGCUCAUCUGUCUAGGCCACUUAAAUAGUUAGAAUCCACCAUCCCCUAAUGCAGAAACCUUUCAGGUGAGAUAAAUUAAUAAACAUUGUAAACACAUAUAUGAGGUUGGCAUUACACAGAAACUCCUCUCUCGGUGUCUAGGCUGGACAUUGUCAUCCAGCCUAAUGUAUUUUAAAUUUCUCUCUUUCAAGACUUGCAGUCCAUCAGCUUAAAGGGUGAGCCAGUCAGUAGAGGGAAGGAGCCCCAGCUAGAAGGUACCUUUAAAUGUCAAAGAAAUGCGAAGAGAGAAAGAUUUUGCUAGAAUCCUCCUCAAGGGUGUUCUUGAGGUUACCAGACCGGCAACAUCAGCAUCACCUGAGAACUUGUUCGAAGUACACAUUCUUGGUCCCCACCCCAGGCUUCUGAGCAGAAACAGUGGGGCCCAGCAGUCCGUAUUUUAACAGCCCUUCAGGUGGUUCUGACUAACUCUCAAGUUUGAGAAUCCACUCGGGGCUUGCAAGGGUCGUUCCUCAGGUGGUCCCUGAUGGCUGCUGGUGAUAUGGGUCCUGUGUGCUGCUAGGCGCAGCGUAGUACAGUCAAAAGUGCUGAUUGUGAAGAUAGGCACGUGUUCCCACUGCUGAGAAACCACUGAAACCUCCCUUGAACCUGUGGCCUCCCCAGCAAACAACUGCCAAGGCAUCAAAGAAAGUCUGUAUGAAGUGGAUCAAAAUUAUUAGCCUGCCCACCGCUCCUUCUGCCUCUCAUCAGUUGAACCCAUCUCUAGACCAAGGGCCCUUUGGGUGAAGAACCAUCCCAGAAGGGAAAGAGAAAAGAAUAGAACCCAGAGACCUCCAGAUGGGAGCAGCAGUCGGAUCACCUCACAGAAGAGAAAGAAUUCACAGUGAAAUAGAAACAAGCCACUGACCAGCGUACUCUCAAACUGAAACCUUCCUUUUCCCACCCUCUCUCUCAAGAAAACAUCUGCUGACUUGAGCAGCGUGAUUGCCAUAGCAAAGCAGAGUGGCCCCCUGGGAACCCGCUCUGUUGUGGCACAUGCGCACACAGGAGCCGAUGAAGCUGAUCCAAGAGUGAUGACGAGCACUGCAGAGGGAAGUUUGCCAAAAGCCUUCAGGGGGACACACAUGCUCUAACACGGACAUAGAAUGCCCUGGAUUUCUGUGGUUGUGGCCAUAGAGUCUGGUCCUGGCUUCAGUCUUUGGUUCAAAUCUCUGCUUGGCUACGUAUCACCAUACCUUACUACCAAAAUACGACCUUGAGCAUCAACUUCUUUAAGACUCAGUUUUCUCAUCUGUAAAACUGGAAUGAUAACCUAAAUCACAAAGUUAAUGGAAGGAUUAAAUGAGGGUGAUGAAUGGGAAUGUAUGGUAUCUGGCCCUGGUAUGGCUUUAUAAAUGUUAGCUGUGUUAGAGCUGCGCUUUUCAAACCAUUGGUCACAACCAUUAAUGGUUUGCAACCAGCAUUUUUUUCAAGAAAAAAUUUAAAUGCAUUACAUAUUGCAGGGUAAGUAUUGUUUUAUGAAGCUUAGGGGCUGUGUAUAUAUGUGUUCUGGAAUGCAACAGAAAAAUAUUUCCUCUUGUGGGUUACAAUAUAGAAGUAUGAAAUCUCUGAUGAGGAGAGACAGUGUUAUCUGGCCAGCUAUGAAGAGACGCAUUUGCCUGGGCUGCUGCCUGGGGCUCUGGCUUUCUACAUGAUGAUGCAGGGAGCAGGGAACAACCUAUUCUCACUCUGUGGGGCUCAGCUGAGUCUGCACGGACUCUUCUUGCUUGGGAGCCUUAGUCCUAAUACAUUCAUUUUGGAGUGUUGGUGAGUUUGUUCACAGAUCACAGCUCAUGUGUCACCCAGGCUGACCUGGGCCAAAAGGCCCCGUCACAUACUCUGCAAGAGCUGCUGGUCUCAACUACAACCCCCUGACCAGAAAUCAACCAUUUUUGUUUGUUUUCUUGAGCCUGAAGCUAGUGUUACUGCUCUUCUACAAACCUCAAGCUUAAGAACUUUGCCUGCAAGAUCCCUUUAAAUCCACGAAAAACUCAAAAUUGUGUCCUACCAGGAAAAAGCAACCCUCAGGCCAUUUAUUACAUCAGAUUUGUUUGCAGUAUUUUCUUUCAGGAACUCAGAAGUAGUCAGUACUCCCUGAACAUUUGUCCACUUGACUGCUGAAGACCUCUGGUAGACAGGCCGGGCUCUGCCUGGAAUACUUUUAUGGCUUGGUGAGGAGGUUGAGUAUAAUCCAAGAGUGCCUAUCGGGUGCAUGCCACAUGAAUGGCAAAUAAUCCUGUGGGCUCUUGGCUUCAUCUCCCUUCCCUCUGACUGAGCUCAGCCUGGGCACAGUGGGGAUUUGCACAGUGGGAAAACAUGUUGGGCAGAAAAAAGACGCUAAUUCUGCUCCCAGUUCUGCUGCAUAAUAAGCCAGACAAGCCUUGGCCAUUCUCAUGGCCUCUUGGAACUUGUAUUUCUUCCUUAUCUGCCAAGCAUCAAUACUCAGACCCACCUCACAAGGAGGCUAUAAAAAACUAUGGUCAUGGCUUUGAGUCCAAGUCAGUGAGGAUGCAGCCAGUCUGUCAUUUCUGGGUGUCUCCCCUGUAGCCCGUUUGCCAUAUGGUAAUGUCCCAGCUCUGGUGCUAUCAAGUUAAAGCAUCUUUCUCGACAGGCUACAGAUAAUCACCCAGGAAGGGAAUGCAGAAUACCCAAAGCAAACCCUCUCAGUGGUCACUGCUUCUGUGCCCAGAAGGGAGGCCUGGCGAGGGGCCAGUCCGGGAGCAGCAUUGCCCCACAUGAAGCUCCCUCUAGACUGUGUCAAUAAGAUCCAUUUUCUGAAACAGUGAUUUUUGUUCUGAUUAUAAAAGUAACAUUGGCUCAUUGGUGAAAACUUGGACUGUGUGAGAAGUCUACAGAAAUAAAUACAAAUCUAGAAUUCCAUCCCCAAAAGUAACCACACAGACAAAUGUUCCAGUGUCAUGUAAAAUUGUAUUAACACCAUCUCGUAUAGCU